This 468-nucleotide ribosomal RNA is filed under the name uncultured bacterium. Its description in RNAcentral is "partial 16S ribosomal RNA". It matches the Rfam family "Bacterial small subunit ribosomal RNA", at positions 28 to 507 of the family's 1533-position model. The record is from RNAcentral.
GACGAACGCUGGCGGCGUGCUUAACACAUGCAAGUCGAACGGAAAGGCCCUGCUUUUGUGGGGUGCUCGGGUGGCGAACGGGUGAGUAACACGUGAGUAACCUGCCCUUGACUUUGGGAUAACUUCAGGAAACUGGGGCUAAUACCGGAUAGGAGCUCCUGCUGCAUGGUGGGGGUUGGAAAGUUUCGGCGGUUGGGGAUGGACUCGCGGCUUAUCAGCUUGUUGAUGGGGUAGUGGCUUACCAAGGCUUUGACGGGUAGCCGGCCUGAGAGGGUGACCGGCCACAUUGGGACUGAGAUACGGCCCAGACUCCUACGGGAGGCAGCAGUGGGGAAUAUUGCACAAUGGGCGGAAGCCUGAUGCAGCAACGCCGCGUGCGGGAUGACGGCCUUCGGGUUGUAAACCGCUUUCGCCUGUGACGAAGCGUGAGUGACGGUAAUGGGUAAAGAAGCACCGGCUAACUACGUG